RNAcentral lists this long non-coding RNA (3404 nucleotides) under Lactuca sativa (garden lettuce). Its description in RNAcentral is "long non-coding RNA (LSAT_LNC006536)". The record is from RNAcentral. Lineage: Eukaryota; Viridiplantae; Streptophyta; Magnoliopsida; Asterales; Asteraceae.
AAAACAGAAAAAUACGUAUUCAAGUUCAUAUUUGCAUUAUCUCGGUCUUAAUAACACAAUACCAUGAAGACAAACAGAUAAUGUAGAUGAAUAAAAUCAGUAAUAACCAGCAUACAAAUAGUUAGCCACACAAGAAACUACUAAUAUUGAAACAUAGAGAUGAAGGCCUCGUUUGUUUUUCUACUACAAAAGUACUUUUUGAGCACUUUUCCCUUCUGGCGGGUAGACGUUUUGCAAGUGCACGUCUUCUUCCGCAAACUUGGAAAAAGACAAAAGACAUUUAACCACUUCCAAAACAAACAGCACCGAAGAAUACCUGUUGCGACAGAAUGCGUGUUGCACAGCAGAGCUCGAAGUGGAGAAAGAAGAAACCCUAUUCGAUUGACACAGAUACAACGAUUUUGCAGGCCGUGGAGAAGACGCAAACGUAUUAUAUAUGGGAUGUAUCCUUUUAUUAUUAGGUUACUAGGUCUCAGACCCAUGUAUUAUAUACACUAGGUCACAAUUCCCACGGGUAAAAUAUUUUUAAAAUUUUAUUAUUUAAUAAGAUUAAAGUUUUCUAAAACUUUUGUAUUGUUUGUUUAAAAUUAAUAUAUAUUUAUUUAAACAUCCGAUAUACGUUAUGUAUGUAGCUAAAUUCAAACAUAGUCUAAAUGUUUUGGGUGCCAUAACACUAAACAAAAAAGAAAAUACUAUUUUCCAUGUUUAUGGAUUAACUAAAACUUUAGAGAAUGUUCAUACAUAAAAAAUAAAAUAUAACGAUUUUUUGAACCGAUAAAAAAUAGAAUCUCAAACAACUUCUAUUAAAACAUGAAAAUUUUAACUACUUAAAAGCUAAAUCAUCUAAUUUAUUUAUCAAACAUGAAGGGUUACAAAGAUAAACAUUAUAUAUUGUACUUUAAAAUUUUGAUCUUGCAAUUUGACCAUUUCAUGCAAGUACAUUGUCGUCCUACCACCAUUUACUUAGAUUAUCUAAAAAGAUCAAACGUAUAUUUUUACUUGAUAACAUUGGGUAAAAUUUCAUCAAAAUUUUGAGAGCAAACGUAUAUUUUUACUUGAUAACACUGGGUAAAAUUUCAUCUUCUCUUUCUUAAUUGAGAUAUUAAUUUUACAUUAAGUCAAACUUCAGAGCAAGAACAUUGAUUGAGAUUAACACUUAAGUACCCAUAUUUGAAUUUCAUGAGUAUUUUAUCUCUAUUUUUCUUUUGAAGGAGCACUUUAAAAUGUUGUUACCUCAUAACUAUAGCAUGCACCUUUCCAACACUCAUAAGACUUUUAUGGAUUCCAAUAAUCUUUUGCAAGUUUUUAGAUUUUUUGCAACCACAUAUUGGAAUGAAAUGGAACAUUCCGGUUCUUAAAAAGUGAUUUUAUUCGUAAACAUAGUGUAAAAAGGAACCAUUUUGCCCCUGUAGUCAAAUAUAUUUAUUAAUUUUUUUUUACUUAAUAUAAACCAAAAGAAUUAAUAAAAAACAAAAAAAAAAAAAUAGGGGCUUGAUCUUACCUCAAGCAAAUAGGAUACUACUUGGUCUAGAGACAAAGUCUCUCCGUCUAUGGUAAUAUGCGUCCAGGCUUUAGAAUAUCACUCAUCCUAAACCUAUAAAAAAAUAUUCUCAAAACCUAUUAAGAAUUAAAAUAAAAUUAUAAUCCAUUUUGGUUUUCAUUUCGGGUGGUCAAAAGUGCAUUCAACUAAUCCAAAUCCUAACCAGGUAAUUCAAAGCGGGUCUUUAACCAUAAAAAAUGCAAGAAAUAAUAAUGUACUUUCUAUUUAAAGAACAUUAUUAUAAAUAGAUAGAUAUUUCAAACUAUAACGUUGUAACAGGAAAAAAUAAAAAUUAAGAUGCUAUCAAAAGUCAAACAUAGCAGCCUAUUCCAAUUUAACCUUGUUCAGUUUGUUUAAAAUUUACAAUAUAUCUUCAUGCUCUUGUAUAAAAUAUCAUAUAUUUGAUCUGUUCUACAAUGUAUCUUAAAACUUUACAGAACACACCUAAUUAAUUUCAUAUGUACAAUCUACUACACAUAAUUGUUUUAGAAUUAUAAUUAUAAUUAAUAAAUAUGAACAAUCAUACAUACAUUUUCAUCUUAAUUAUGAAACUACUUUUUUAUAGUCAUAUCCAGAAACAAAAAACUAAAACAUGAUUCCAAAUUAUAAAAAAAUAAAAAUUUGACACCCAGAUGCUUACAUGCUAAAUUCCAAACAUGAUUGUUAUGAGGUAAUACAUUUAUCUCUAAACACAAAUACACAGCUACACAAAAAUAUAUUUUAAGCAUUAAAGCACAAGAGAACAUAACUAAUAGAUAACAUAUACCUUUAUUGCCCCAUGAAAAUUGGUUUGACAGACAAUUUGCCUGUCAUCUGAUAAUAACCCAAUCCUUAUUCUUUGAGUAUACAAAAUUCAUUUAAAAGAAUUUCGACACCAAGGAUAGGAGACUGUCAAAAUCCUAAUAAUAAAAGUUAGAAAUACACAUACCUUAAAACUACCAAAUACACAUACCUUUUCACCAUGUUCAACAACAUAUGCAAAAUAACCCUCACCAAUUGAUUAGGCCAGUGAUCCCUGUCUGGCAAGCAUAAAAACGAAACUACAAAACUGAUGUAAGCAUACUUAUAGAAUUGCCCUUUUUUGGUGAUGUUCUAUAGACCUGACACUACACAUGAGACCAAAGAUAUUUGGUUGAGAAGAUGAAAAAUAAGCAAAAAUUAAAGAAAAAGAAGAGUGUCAAAGGAACUCCAUAUGCAGAAAUCCAAAUGAUUUCCCCUACAACGAUUAAGGUUUUCCUUCCACCCAUAGCGAUCUAGGCAAAUCUCUGUCUACUCGACAAAAAUAUAACAAACCUCUCACCAAUAGCUAUAAAUUCUUGAUAUAUAGAGAAGAGAAGAUCGAUUGGGUUGUUGGGGGUAGGGGGUAUUCAAAAAUGGAAAGAAUUUAAACAAAAAAACGUAAAUCUACAAAAUCGAAAUCGACCUCUAAUAAAUCGUUUGUACUGUGGAUGGAAUGGAGGAUCGAUUCGGAGACCAUCACAUAGUCGUAAAUAACCCUCAUGAAAACUUGAACCAUAUCAAUUCUCUGGCAGAUAAGAGAAGGAAUGAGAUAGAGAGGUGUAUUCGUAAUCCAUAAAAAGCUGCAACAUGGUUGUUGAUUUCUUGAGAUGUAGAUAGAAAUCAAUUUCGGUAUAUCCCUAAUUUUAUGCUGAGAACUUUAAAAUCAGAAACCGAAUCACAUAGAGGAACAUACAUAUUAAGGGGGUAUGUUGUUGACGAUCUAAUCAAAGAAAAUGAACCAAGUUUCCAAAAUAAAUGAGAGAUUUGGGGAAUAAACGGACGCCACGUAGGAAUAAAGAUAUUACAGGUUUUAAAAGUUGAGGGGCAAAUCAGGUAGUUUAUUUUGAAAUUUCUUUAGCACGAG